ACUAAAAUAACUAAUUUUUAAAUAUUUUGAUUAGUACGUAAUUUAUUUUUAUUUGAAUAUUUUAGUUUAUAUUUAACGGUGUUAACAGGCUAUGAAAAACAAAGUUGGAGCAGGAAAGGGGUUUGUGUUAUAUAUGUAGAGUAGUAUAGCAAUUCUUUUAAAGUAUAAUUAAUAAUAAAGUUUGGAUUAUUCUAGAAUGUAUGAAGAAAUUAAAGACAGUGGGAAAUAGACAAAAAGAAAAAGAAAAGAAAA
RNAcentral lists this long non-coding RNA (252 nucleotides) under Ananas comosus (pineapple). RNAcentral's name for it is "long non-coding RNA (ACOM_LNC040725)". The record is from RNAcentral. Lineage: Eukaryota; Viridiplantae; Streptophyta; Magnoliopsida; Poales; Bromeliaceae.